CUAAGCAUUUUAAUUCCAAUUUGGUUUUUCCCACAGCUAAAUUUCACCCAGCAGAUUGAAAUCUUUUCUAUUUCUUUCUGCCCGCGACAGGACAAGUUCUUCAAAAGAAAAAGGUUCGUUUAUCGCGAUUGUGAGAACAGAAUGCGAAAUCAACUAGGAAAAAGGUCAGAAAGUCUGGAAAAUUGAAAAGGCAGAGACGGGAAAAACUAUUUAAAACCCAGGUGAAGGCAGAAGAAGCUAUCUCUAUGAUGUGUGCAUAAAAGAACCAUCUUGGUGAUUCAUUUACUUCAUUUUUUGCACGCUUUUUUUGCCCGCUUCCUUUCCUGCUGGAUUCUCAGUUUCUUGGAAGCAAGUGCAAUUGCUAUAAAUGAAAUGAAACGGACGACGACGAGCGACAGGCAGCGCGGAUGUGGAUGUCGUUUAAAUAUUACCAGACGGCAUAAAAAUUGACAGACGUCGCCAGACAAAGGCCAAACAAACUUCUGAAUGAACCAUCCAAGCAGAGCGUUAAAAAGUCCUAAAACGAAGUACCGAAUCUGGGAUUAUGCCUCACCUGAACUGGAUACAAAAAUUCAAUCAACCUGCUGCAGCUGCGGCCUUUGUUGCUGUUUUUUGCAGAGAUUACUUUAUGCUGCACCCUGCAAUCCGGGGCUUGAACUAAAGGUGUCUAUAUAGGUGUAUAUAUAAAACUCACUGCAAGUCGGAGAUCCAAAGUUGUGAACGUGCCAGGCUGGCCCCUUUUGCCACCCACCGCCCUCCCCGCACCCAUAUGUUUGCUAGCCCCCCGAAGACCCUGUAUCGCAUAAACAGUUGCAAUUGCGAACGUGAUUGGGGCGAAUGCAAUUCAACCUGCAGAUAUAGAUAGAGACAGGUUGUAAACGAGAAGAGCGAAGUCAAAUCGGAAUCGGAUUUUUUAUACUUCUCAUGGCUACUAUACUUCUCAAUGAUGGAUUCAAUUCCCGCAACGACAAGAACCAGAAACAGGUUUCCAAUCGCAUUCUGCCCCACAGUGGACACUCGGGAAAUUAGAGCCUUCAGAUGCAGCUUGUGCCUAUCUAUAUGACGACUAGAAAUUUAUAUUUUAUUUGAAAUUCAUAAAGUUGAAAUGGAAUAAAGUACCACUUUGUUUUUA
This is a long non-coding RNA of Drosophila elegans, 1132 nucleotides long. RefSeq lists it as uncharacterized. The transcript is spliced from 2 exons. NCBI's taxonomy places the organism in Eukaryota, Metazoa, Arthropoda, Insecta, Diptera, Drosophilidae. The record is from RefSeq and is a predicted model, not a curated record.